RNAcentral lists this ribosomal RNA (608 nucleotides) under uncultured bacterium. Its description in RNAcentral is "bacterial SSU rRNA". It matches the Rfam family "Bacterial small subunit ribosomal RNA", at positions 49 to 653 of the family's 1533-position model. The record is from RNAcentral.
CUACCAUGCAAGUCGAGCGGUAGAGAGGUGCUUGCACCUCUUGAGAGCGGCGGACGGGUGAGUAAAGCCUAGGAAUCUGCCUGGUAGUGGGGGAUAACGCUCGGAAACGGACGCUAAUACCGCAUACGUCCUACGGGAGAAAGCAGGGGACCUUCGGGCCUUGCGCUAUCAGAUGAGCCUAGGUCGGAUUAGCUAGUUGGUGAGGUAAUGGCUCACCAAGGCGACGAUCCGUAACUGGUCUGAGAGGAUGAUCAGUCACACUGGAACUGAGACACGGUCCAGACUCCUACGGGAGGCAGCAGUGGGGAAUAUUGGACAAUGGGCGAAAGCCUGAUCCAGCCAUGCCGCGUGUGUGAAGAAGGUCUUCGGAUUGUAAAGCACUUUAAGUUGGGAGGAAGGGCAUUAACCUAAUACGUUAGUGUUUUGACGUUACCGACAGAAUAAGCACCGGCUAACUCUGUGCCAGCAGCCGCGGUAAUACAGAGGGUGCAAGCGUUAAUCGGAAUUACUGGGCGUAAAGCGCGCGUAGGUGGUUCGUUAAGUUGGAUGUGAAAUCCCCGGGCUCAACCUGGGAACUGCAUUCAAAACUGUCGAGCUAGAGUAUGGUA